GCAGGACAACAGCAAUAUCUGUGACUUCUCCCUCAGUCGGCGACAUAAAUGAAGACCAACUAAAGGAAUAUAUGCAGAAUACCAUAGCCAGCAAUUGCGUCCCAGGGAUGAAUGAUGCCCUGGAAAAGAACCAGAUGAAAAUGCCCAACCUGAUGGGGGCUGACUAUAAUCAUUCUGCAUUCAAGAUGGUGGAGGGUGUCGUGAUCAUUGAAGUGGACCACAGCAACGUUGAGGACGAUACCAUGGUGCACUUGGAGAAGUUUAAAAACAUGUCUGUUUAAAAACAGGCUAGAAACCUGCACCUGCAUCCAAGAGGUGUUCACCCAGCCACUUGAUCCAAAACGAAAACAGCACAUCCACCUAGAAUGGGUCCCUUCCAACUCGACAAUUCGAUCUGGAGUGGGCAGCGAUUGGAGAACUCUUCUUCCUCGCCUGCCUGAUAAACGCUCACCCCCAUUCCCAGUUCUCUAGGCUGUAACUCUCUGUCCGGAGGCUUGGAAUGAUAUUUGGCGGGUUCUUUCAAUAAAAUAACCCAUGUUUCCUCUCCUGCA
Non-coding RNA from Podarcis muralis (Common wall lizard), 551 nucleotides. Lineage: Eukaryota; Metazoa; Chordata; Lepidosauria; Squamata; Lacertidae. The record is from RefSeq and is a predicted model, not a curated record.